Molecule: long non-coding RNA, 624 nt
Organism: Bos taurus (domestic cattle)
Lineage: Eukaryota; Metazoa; Chordata; Mammalia; Artiodactyla; Bovidae
Source: Ensembl
GUCUGGAUUUCUGAAAUCAGUAGAAAGAUUUUUAAAAUAAGACAACUUGGCACGUGACUUUAAGGAAGAGGAUUAGAUUUCACAUCCUCAGCAGUGGAUAAAAAGUUUCCCAUUCUGGAGACAGGUAUAGCAGAUGGCUUCCUGAACUUGGAGUCAAGGGACCACUUACUAGCUGUGUGUCCUGAACUCAUCACUUGCCCUCUCUGGGCCUCUCUGGCCUCACCUAUAAAACGAGCUUCGAAGAGAUGAUCUCUAAAGUUCUUCUGGAUCUAAUAGUCGAAGACUGAAGCCCUGAUUCUCAUCUGAAGGAGCUCUAGGACUUAAGCCCACAGGUUUCCUGCGUCUCUGCCUGGCCCCCUUGGUGCAGGUGGCUGCGUGUGUGCGUGUGGGACCGAGGAGAGAGUGGAGCGGUGAGGUGGGGAAUAGCAGAAGAACAGAGUUCCCCUUGAUGGCCCCUGACCUGCUCUGUCACCAUGGCAGGCCUGUUCUCGCCCUUGUGGGGCUGGGCAAGGUGGCUGGGGCAGCAGAGCCUGACAUUUCAAAGAGCAGUGUCGCUUGUCCUUGGCACACCUGUCUUUGAGAUCUUGCUGCCACUGCUGGGACAUUCCUGACCAGGUGGAAUUC